RNAcentral lists this ribosomal RNA (452 nucleotides) under uncultured bacterium. RNAcentral's name for it is "bacterial SSU rRNA". It matches the Rfam family "Bacterial small subunit ribosomal RNA", at positions 416 to 869 of the family's 1533-position model. The record is from RNAcentral.
CUAUGGGUUGUAAAAUGAUGUUGUACGGGAAUAAACCCAGAUACGUGUAUCUGGAUGAAUGUGCCGUAGGAAUAAGGAUCGGGGAACUCCGUGCCAGCAGCCGCGGUAAUACGGAGGAUCCAAGCGUUAUCCGGAUUCAUUGGGUUUAAAGGGUGCGUAGGUGGAUUUGUAAGUCAGUGGUGAAAUCCUGCAGCUUAACUGUAGAACUGCCAUUGAUACUGCAAGUUUUGAGUGUGUUUGAAGUGGGCGGAAUGUGUCAUGUAGCGGUGAAAUGCAUAGAUAUGACACAGAACACCGAUUGCGUAGGCAGCUCACUAAGCCACAACUGACACUGAGGCACGACAGCGUGGGGAUCAAACAGGAUUAGAUACCCUGGUAGUCCACGCCGUAAACUAUGAUUACUCGAUGUUGGCGAUACACAGUCAGCGUUUAAGCUAAAGCGAUAAGUAUCC